This is a non-coding RNA of Pelobates cultripes (western spadefoot toad), 100 nucleotides long. The record is from the annotation of a GenBank genome assembly. Lineage: Eukaryota; Metazoa; Chordata; Amphibia; Anura; Pelobatidae.
UCAUCUGACCGACGUUUCGACCCUACAGGGUCUUCCUCAAGAUGAUCAAGAUCUUGAGGAAGACCCUGUAGGGUCGAAACGUCGGUCAGAUGAUGUAACA